GGAGGGUGCAAGCGUUGUUCGGAAUUACUGGGCGUAAAGCGCGUGUAGGUGGUCGAGUAAGUCGAAUGUGAAAGCCCCGGGCUCAACCCGGGAAGUGCAUCCGAAACUGCUCGACUAGAGUCCCGGAGAGGAAGGCAGAAUUCCCAAUGUAGGGGUGAAAUCCGUAGAUAUUGGGAGGAAUACCGGUGGCGAAGGCGGCCUUCUGGACGGUGACUGACACUCAGACGCGAAAGCGUGGGGAGCAAACAGGAUUAGAUACCCUGGUAGUCCACGCUGUAAACGUUGCGAACUAGGUGUCGGGGGUAUUCACCCCUCCGGUGCCGGAGCUAACGUCUUAAGUUCGCCGCCUGGGAAGUACGGCCGCAAGGCUA
RNAcentral lists this ribosomal RNA (371 nucleotides) under uncultured bacterium. Its description in RNAcentral is "bacterial SSU rRNA". It matches the Rfam family "Bacterial small subunit ribosomal RNA", at positions 527 to 896 of the family's 1533-position model. The record is from RNAcentral.